CCUACGGGAGGCAGCAGUGAGGAAUAUUGGUCAAUGGGCGGGAGCCUGAACCAGCCAAGCCGCGUGAAGGAAGAAGGCGCCACGCGUCGUAAACCUCUUUUGUCGGGGAACAAAGGCGCCCACGGGUGGGCGGAUGAGUGUACCCGACGAAAAAGCAUCGGCUAACUCCGUGCCAGCAGCCGCGGUAAUACGGAGGAUGCGAGCGUUAUCCGGAUUUAUUGGGUUUAAAGGGUGCGUAGGCGGACAGUCAAGUCAGCGGUAAAAUUGCGGUGCUCAACGCCGUACAGCCGUUGAAACUGGCAGUCUUGAGUGGGCGAGAAGUAUGCGGAAUGCGGGGUGUAGCGGUGAA
Molecule: ribosomal RNA, 349 nt
Filed under: uncultured bacterium
Lineage: Bacteria
Description: partial 16S ribosomal RNA
Rfam family: Bacterial small subunit ribosomal RNA
Source: RNAcentral